Molecule: long non-coding RNA, 366 nt
Filed under: Prunus persica (peach)
Lineage: Eukaryota; Viridiplantae; Streptophyta; Magnoliopsida; Rosales; Rosaceae
Description: long non-coding RNA (PPER_LNC002613)
Source: RNAcentral
GGACCUGCCUCAGAAGAUUGACGAAAACAUCGAGGAGUUCUGCAAGAAGCUGAUGGCCAAGGCUUCAUUGAAGGACUUCAAUGAGUUGUUCUGGGCUGUUCAUCCAGGAGGACCUGCCAUUCUUAACAAGCUAGAGAGCACCCUCAAGCUGGGCAGUGAUAAGCUAGAGUGCAGCAGGAGGGCUCUGAUGGACUAUGGAAAUGUUAGCAGCAACACGAUUUUCUAUGUCAUGGAGAAUAUGAGGGAGGAGUUGAAGAAUAAGAAGGAGGAGAGGGAAGAAUGGGGGCUUGCCUUAGCUUUUGGCCCUGGAAUUACAUUUGAAGGAAUCCUCAUGCGCAGCCUGUAGGAGGAUCAAUUGUUACCAUG